RNAcentral lists this ribosomal RNA (467 nucleotides) under uncultured bacterium. RNAcentral's name for it is "partial 16S ribosomal RNA". It matches the Rfam family "Bacterial small subunit ribosomal RNA", at positions 28 to 506 of the family's 1533-position model. The record is from RNAcentral.
GACGAACGCUGGCGGCGUGCUUAACACAUGCAAGUCGAACGGAAAGGCCCUGCUUUUGUGGGGUGCUCGAGUGGCGAACGGGUGAGUAACACGUGAGUAACCUGCCCUUGACUUUGGGAUAACUUCAGGAAACUGGGGCUCAUACCGGAUAGGAGCUCCUGCUGCAUGGUGGGGGUUGGAUAGUUUCGGCGGUUGGGGAUGGACUCGCGGCUUAUCAGCUUGUUGGUGGGGUAGUGGCUUACCAAGGCUUUGACGGGUAGCCGGCCUGAGAGGGUGACCGGCCACAUAGGGACUGGGAUACGGACCAGACUCAUACGGGAGGCAGGAGUGGGGAAUAUUGCACAAUGGGCGGAAGCAUGAUGCAGCAACGCCGCGUGCGGGAUGACGGCCUUCGGGUGGGAAACCGCUUUCGCCUGUGACGAAGCGUGAGUGACGGUAAUGGGUAAAGAAGCACCGGCUAACUACGU